Molecule: long non-coding RNA, 1538 nt
Organism: Anguilla anguilla (European eel)
Lineage: Eukaryota; Metazoa; Chordata; Actinopteri; Anguilliformes; Anguillidae
Exons: 2
Source: RefSeq, a predicted model, not a curated record
GGGAGGGGGGUGGGGGUGGUACUGUGCAUUCUGAGCACGAUAGAAAGAUCUAAUCUAGGUGAGGAAUUUCCUGUCGGUUUUUUUUUUGUGGUCCUUGUGCAGGUAUGUCUGCUUGUGUGCCAAUGUGUGUUAUGCAAAUGAAGAAAAACUAAACAAAAUGUGCGAUUGCUUUGCACACCCUGUUGCUUUUUUUGUUUGCACCUUAGCCAAGUGCCGGGGAUUUCUGAGAAUCCGAAAUUAGCCACGUCGAGGCAUGGGAGGUGCAAUGGUAGCAGGUUUAUAUUUAUCUCAGAUGAGAAUGCGCAUGAUACAAAGUUAAAUUUAUGCCCGUGUAGUGACUCUGUAACUUCUUUCCAGCCUAGGCCAGGGGCUGUCAAACUCAGCCCUGGAAGACGUUCUGUGCUUGCUGCGUCUCUUCAGUUAAGGUUGCACGUCCAGAAAAUGAAAAUAACGUCUGACAAGCUAUGCCUGCAAAUGGGUAAAUAUUGAUAUUCUGUAAUGAUGCCAUGCUUCAGACAAUCAGGGACUACUUGAAAAGCAGAAAAUUAAUCAAAUGUGUGUGUGUGCGUGCGUUCGCACGUGCAUGUGCCUAAUAUGUGUGUGUAUUGUGUGUGAGAGCAUACAUACUGUAUCUGUGUGUGUGUGUGUGUGUGUGCAUGCAUGCAUGUUUGUCUACAAGUGUGCAUGUGUGUGUGUGUGUGUGUGUGUAUGGGUGCACUUGCAUUUGACUGCCAGGGUAUGUGCGUGGGUGAGAGAUUUAAUAGAUGAGAUCUGUAAUCACCUUCUUACGAAGUGCAAGACCCCUCCCCCCUUCACUUUUCUGGAAACAGACAGAAAUCUUCUGGCCUCAUCCUGGGAUGCUGCAGUCAUCUGCUGUCUAAAAAGCAAAACAGACAAAAUUACCAACAGUGAAUACGUAUGAUAAAUGCAUGAGGACUGAACCAGCUCCCAUCUAAGUGCUGGACCAUGGUAAAGGAAGUGUUAUAAAAUUCCAUUUCUUUCCAUUCCAUGUUUUGGAAUUUUUGUUUCCCAUAAUGACAGGGUUCGAUAGGGGCUGAAGACUUACCUAUUUCAUUUGUUAUUGUGGAGUCGCAGUCUUUAAUUUUAAUUUUCCCUCUUAAUUAUGGCACUCUAUUCUUUGUGGCUUUUUUACUAUGCAUUCAUUCCUUGCUUUUAUUUGUUUCAUUCAUUUUUUUUAAAAAAAGAUCAGCUUUGUACAUUGGCAAAAAGACUGAAAUGAGUAGGUAUAAUUAUGAGGAUGAUGAUGAUGAUAAUAAUGAUAAUAAUAAUGUAUGCAAUACAUGCAGAGCCACUAUGAAGAAUACAUUGAAAUACAUUUAGUAAAACCUGCCGAUGAUGAUAAAAGCAAAGAACUUGUUCAGUGCUGGUAAUUCAGGAAUGCUGAAGGUCCUGAGAGAGUUUACAGUUGUUUUUCAGGGGAGACACAAGAACAGCAUUAAAAAGACAGAAUGAAAACUUGUAGAGAGACCUCAACAGAUCAUUGUAUUUAACCAAAAAAUAAAACCCCACAGUUUACG